AACGAACGUUAGCGGCGCGCUUAACACAUGCAAGUCGUGCGAGAAAGGGCUUCGGCCCGGUAAAGCGGCGCACGGGUGAGUAACACGUGGGUAACCUACCCUUGGGUGGUGGAUAACCUUCCGAAAGGAGGGCUAAUACAGCAUAAGACCACAGCUUCAUCGGAAGCAGCGGUCAAAGCCGGCCUCUUCAUGAAAGCUGGCGCCUGAGGAUGGGCCCGCGGCCCAUCAGCUUGUUGGUAGGGUAAUGGCCUACCAAGGCUAAGACGGGUAACUGGUCUGAGAGGAUGAUCAGUCACACUGGAACUGAGACACGGUCCAG
Molecule: ribosomal RNA, 319 nt
Filed under: uncultured bacterium
Lineage: Bacteria
Description: bacterial SSU rRNA
Rfam family: Bacterial small subunit ribosomal RNA
Source: RNAcentral